This 1420-nucleotide ribosomal RNA is filed under the name uncultured bacterium. Its description in RNAcentral is "bacterial SSU rRNA". It matches the Rfam family "Bacterial small subunit ribosomal RNA". The record is from RNAcentral.
GAGUUUGAUCCUGGCUCAGGACGAACGCUGGCGGCGUGCUUAACACAUGCAAGUCGAACGGUGAAGCGCCUUCCUUUUGGUGGGUGUGGAUGAGUGGCGAACGGGUGAGUAACACGUGAGUAACCUGCCCCCUUCUUCUGGAUAACCGCAUGAAAGUGUGGCUAAUACGGGAUAUUCUGGGUCUGUCGCAUGGUGGGCCUGGGAAAGAUGCGCCUUUGGGUGUUUUUGGUGGGGGAUGGGCUCGCGGCCUAUCAGCUUGUUGGUGGGGUGAUGGCCUACCAAGGCGGUGACGGGUAGCCGGCCUGAGAGGGUGGACGGUCACACUGGGACUGAGACACGGCCCAGACUCCUACGGGAGGCAGCAGUGGGGAAUAUUGCACAAUGGGCGCAAGCCUGAUGCAGCGACGCCGCGUGAGGGAUGGAGGCCUUCGGGUUGUAAACCUCUUUCGCCAGUGAAGCAGGCCUGUCCCUUUUGUGGGUGGGUUGACGGUAGCUGGAUAAGAAGCGCCGGCUAACUACGUGCCAGCAGCCGCGGUAAUACGUAGGGCGCGAGCGUUGUCCGGAAUUAUUGGGCGUAAAGAGCUCGUAGGCGGCUGGUCGCGUCUGUCGUGAAAUCCUCUGGCUUAACUGGGGGCUUGCGGUGGGUACGGGCCGGCUUGAGUGCGGUAGGGGAGACUGGAACUCCUGGUGUAGCGGUGGAAUGCGCAGAUAUCAGGAAGAACACCGGUGGCGAAGGCGGGUCUCUGGGCCGUUACUGACGCUGAGGAGCGAAAGCGUGGGGAGCGAACAGGAUUAGAUACCCUGGUAGUCCACGCCGUAAACGUUGGGCACUAGGUGUGGGGGGCCUUUUCCGGGUCUUCCGCGCCGUAGCUAACGCAUUAAGUGCCCCGCCUGGGGAGUACGGCCGCAAGGCUAAAACUCAAAGGAAUUGACGGGGGCCCGCACAAGCGGCGGAGCAUGCGGAUUAAUUCGAUGCAACGCGAAGAACCUUACCAAGGCUUGACAUGUGCCGGUCGGCUCCGGAGACGGGGUUUCCUCCUUGUGGGGCCGGUUCACAGGUGGUGCAUGGUUGUCGUCAGCUCGUGUCGUGAGAUGUUGGGUUAAGUCCCGCAACGAGCGCAACCCUUGUCCCGUGUUGCCAGCACGUUGUGGUGGGGACUCGCGGGAGACUGCCGGGGUCAACUCGGAGGAAGGUGGGGAUGACGUCAAAUCAUCAUGCCCCUUAUGUCUUGGGCUUCACGCAUGCUACAAUGGCCGGUACAGAGGGCUGCGAUACCGUGAGGUGGAGCGAAUCCCUUAAAGCCGGUCUCAGUUCGGAUCGGUGUCUGCAACUCGACACCGUGAAGUUGGAGUCGCUAGUAAUCGCAGAUCAGCAACGCUGCGGUGAAUACGUUCUCGGGCCUUGCACACACCGCCCGUC